ACCCGACUGGGCGGGUAUAAAUAGCCGUCAAGCCCAGUGCGUUACCCACUCUUUGAGUGGGUAGGUCGGA
RNAcentral lists this ribozyme (70 nucleotides) under unclassified sequences. RNAcentral's name for it is "pistol ribozyme". It matches the Rfam family "Pistol ribozyme". The record is from RNAcentral.